AGUCGAGCGAGAAGGUUUUCGGACUGAGUACAGCGGCGGACGGGUGAGUAACGCGUAGGAAUCUACCCAGUAGUGGGGGACAACUUAGGGAAACUUAAGCUAAUACCGCAUACGCCCUAUGGGGGAAAGCGGGGGAUCUUCGGACCUCGCGCUAUUGGAAGAGCUUGCGUUAGAUUAGCUAGUUGGUGGGGUAAAGGCUCACCAAGGCGACGAUCUAUAGCUGGUCUGAGAGGAUGAUCAGCCACACUGGGACUGAGACACGGUCCAGACUCCUACGGGAGGCAGCAGUGGGGAAUAUUGCACAAUGGGCGCAAGCCUGAUGCAGCCAUGCCGCGUGUGUGAAGAAGGCUCUAGGGUUGUAAAGCACUUUCAGUCGGGAGGAAAGCUUGUAGAUUAAUACUCUGCAAGUGUGACGUUACCGACAGAAGAAGCACCGGCUAACUCCGUGCCAGCAGCCGCGGUAAUACGGAGGGUGCAAGCGUUAAUCGGAAUUACUGGGCGUAAAGCGCACGUAGGUGGUUUGUUAAGUUGGAUGUGAAAGCCCAGGGCUCAACCUUGGAACUGCAUUCAAAACUGGCGAACUAGAGUAUGGUAGAGGUGAGUGGAAUUUCCUGUGUAGCGGUGAAAUGCGUAGAGAUGGGAAGGAACAUCAGUGGCGAAGGCGACUCACUGGACCAAUACUGACACUGAGGUGCGAAAGCGUGGGUAGCAAACAGGAUUAGAUACCCUGGUAGUCCACGCCGUAGACGAUGUCUACUAGCCGUUGGGGUCCUUGAGACUUUAGUGGCGCAGCUAACGCACUAAGUAGACCGCCUGGGGAGUACGGUCGCA
This 831-nucleotide ribosomal RNA is filed under the name uncultured Gammaproteobacteria bacterium. RNAcentral's name for it is "bacterial SSU rRNA". It matches the Rfam family "Bacterial small subunit ribosomal RNA", at positions 60 to 890 of the family's 1533-position model. Lineage: Bacteria; Pseudomonadati; Pseudomonadota; Gammaproteobacteria. The record is from RNAcentral.